GGGGGGGGGGGGGACCCCUCAGCUAGUGAGCUCACUCCCCUGGCCCCUUAGCUGACCGCGAGAUCCCCAGCUGAUUUGCAAUUUUUUUUUUUCGGACCUCACGCCUCAGCUGCCUCUCCUUUCCUCCCUCAGCUAACUCUCUCCCUUCUCUCCCGAACUCACGAACUCCCUCAGAUCCCCUUUCACGCCCUCACCUUCCCUCUAACUCCCUCUCAGCUUACAGACCUCCGAAACCUUCAGCAAAAACUCCCGCUGAGCCCAACAAACUCCCCUCAGCUCGCCCCCACCAACCGCCCGAGCCCACAGCUCACUCACCACCAUUUUUCCCCUAACUCUCUGCCCAUCUCCUCUCCGAGACCAGCUUCCUUCUCCAGCUCACUCCUUCGUCAACUAAACCUCGGUUCCUCCUCACCUCAUCUUACCUCAGCAACAUCCUUCCCUCUCUCAAAAAAAAAAAAAAAAAACUGAUUCCCUCAACUCACUCUCCGGCUCCUUCAUCCUCACCUCAACUCUUCCCCCCGACCUCUCUCAUUCCCCAUGCCAUGGCCCCUCCAUGAGUCACCACAAAUCUCAGCUCCUCAACUUCUUCCCGUCUUCUCCCUCGGUCCCGAGCCAAAACUGCUGUGGUGCCACCAUUCUCGAGUUUCCUUCAGCAGUUGCGGUCUAUUUUUCAUUUUUUUUCGUUUUCCUCUCUGGCAGGACACUGUGGCGACUAUGUCGAGGAGCCGUUGCUGAGCCGCUGUUUUGGACCCUCCCUGAGCUCCUCAGGUCUUCUCAAAACUGAGUCGCCCCACCAUACUGUUCCCCAGCUGCUGCUUGACCUCACGUCUGGUAUCCUUGGACAGCCCGUGUCAGCUUUAGUCGGAACAAUACUCGAAGCUUCUUGGUCCUUCCGAUGUAAGCCCGGAAGAGACCCGAAUGUGCUCUCAUCGAGGCUCGCAUGCGCUCGACUGAAUCACGUGGCUUGGGAGUAUCCACCUUCUAGGGGGACGCGUGACGGACACGUGUGAGAAGGAGUCGCCACUAUCUGUGUAUGAUUCGAAGGUCGAGGGCUGGUGAGUUGCCCGGGUUCGAGUUCGAGGGUUCACGUUACGUGCAAGCUUAUAUCCCACACGCCCUCUCAGUACUAUAGCUUGCUAGACUUGCAAUUUUAUUUCAUUUGCAGCGUGAAUUAAGUUGUACUCAGCUUACACGCUUUGACACCAAAAAUUCGGUAAAUUAAACGAUGUCGGUUGAGUAUCCGAGAGAGAAGUAAACCCACCUGUCGGGAAAUCAGUUCAA
Molecule: non-coding RNA, 1281 nt
Organism: Punica granatum (pomegranate)
Lineage: Eukaryota; Viridiplantae; Streptophyta; Magnoliopsida; Myrtales; Lythraceae
Source: RefSeq, a predicted model, not a curated record